This 304-nucleotide small RNA is filed under the name Arabidopsis thaliana (thale cress). Its description in RNAcentral is "ATSL152570". The record is from RNAcentral. Lineage: Eukaryota; Viridiplantae; Streptophyta; Magnoliopsida; Brassicales; Brassicaceae.
AUAUUAGAGAAAGAGAGCUUUCCUACUAUUUCUUAGAGUCCGAAUCGUUACAACGGUUCGAGCAGACAAAACCGUGUAUGGACUGGACCCGCUUUUUAUUUACCAUUCAUAAACUAUAGUUCCUAAUAGUAUAGAUAAAAAAAACAGAAAAAGACGUUGUGGACCAAUUGCACACCGUUUUUUAUAUUGAAAUCAGUGUUCAAGAAAACGUCAGACGCUAUUCGGGAGGUGAUCCAAUGUCUACCGCCUAAAACACCUAAUCGGAGUCUAGACAAUUUUAGGCGGUUAAGAUGUUUAUAACAUA